GGCAAAUCUUACACGAAUGUUGUUGGGUUGAGCGUCAUUACACCAACAGUACAACAGUCAACCCCAGCUGCAAAACACCGUAAAAGAAUAGCUAAACGACCUACCGCCACUACAAGAGACCCAGAUGCAGAUGAGGACACAGGACCAACCACCAGCGCAGCCAGUCCCAAAAAAGUG
Long non-coding RNA from Bolinopsis microptera, 177 nucleotides. RefSeq lists it as uncharacterized. The record is from RefSeq and is a predicted model, not a curated record. The transcript has 3 exons. NCBI's taxonomy places the organism in Eukaryota, Metazoa, Ctenophora, Tentaculata, Lobata, Bolinopsidae.